AUGGGACCCCGGCGUCCUGUCGGUUCCUUCUGCAUCUGACAGGCUCCGAAACCAGGUCUCUCCACCCAGCAGCCCACAAACGCAGCAGCUCACCGGCUCCCUGGCUGCUCCCAACACACCCCACGUGCCGAGGGUGCCUGGCGUGGCCGGGGAAUCGGGAAUAUGUGUUCUGCGGACAGGCAAUCCUAAUCUAGCUAGUGGAAAGAGAAAUGAGUGGUGUGGGCCUGUGUGUGUCCGGCCCCAGGCAUCCGGAAAAGCUUCACCAACAGUGAGACCAAAAGCAAAAAUCUGAAUAUUCUUUUUCUGAGAAAGAACAUCCGAUAGGAAAAAAUGUGCUCCCAGCUGCAGGGAGCUGAGGUCAGCUGCGAAACGCCGGCUCAGCGUUCUGACCGGGAACCGCCUCGAAGUGCUGGCGUCGGACCCUGGCUGGUUGUGAUCAUGGACACACGCCGCUUCCCUGUGAGAGAAAUGACUUUUCCCAACUUAAUGUUCUCAUUCUUUAGUGCUCUGUUUUGAAAUUUAAAGCGUAGAAGACAAAGUUGCAGGGACAGAGAGGGAGCGCUUUACUAGGGAACUUACUAACUGUGCAUUUUAUCCCAUUAUCCUCGGCACACUUCCUCUCCCUCCCCCAAAAGAGUUUUCAGAACCAAAAAAAAAGUAGGCUAGCAGGGGCCACGGGAAAAACGUCCCCUUUGCUCUCCAAAGGUUCGCUGAAAAAAUCAACUCACAGAAGGCAGAGUAACUGAAGAAAAGGCUGACGGCAUAGCACGGAGACUCUCAGGAGGAUGGUUAUCCCAAAGCCCAGGGGCCCACAGCCGGCCGUGCACCUUCCUCCUAGAGGAGAGGAGAUGGGCAGUGGCGUGACCCAGCAGCACUCCCAGACUUCAGCCGUCGCGUCUUCAGUCUCCUGCAACCCAGAACACCUGACUGGCCUCCCCUGUCCCUUUGGAGCUUGGCGGUCUCUCCAGCACCCCUUAUUGGCAGUGGAAGGGGCUGCCAGUGGGCCGAGCAGCGAUGUGGUUUGUGGAGUCCCAGCCCCGGCAGCGCAGGGUGGGGUCGGAGGGUGGGUGUGGGUGAAAGGUCACACCCUGGUAACGGGCCCCCUCUCCAAACUGCACGACUCCCCUUUGUCUCCCUGAUGGCACGGGUGGCAUUUCCAGCACAGCACCGGACAGACGCGGUCAGGCAGACCCUCACCUCGCUCAGACUGAGACGGAAACUCACCCUGACAGCCACACCUUAGCCUGAUGGUCUCUAAAGAUCCCAUUCUCCUCAUGCAGUCACCUUCUGAGACGUUGGGUGAGGCUGUGAUUUGGGCAGCAGGGAGGGGCAGAUUCAGGCCGCGAGUCUGUUGAAGAUCGGUGUUCCCGGCCACCGUCAGUCUGAUUCCAGCUCUAGCUCUUCACAGGCAGCCCGCGUCACAUGGAGACGGUUCCACUGUGUUCUUAGCCUGUUUGGAGUUCUUACCUGUGAAAAGGGUGUUGCUUGUUUGUUGAAUGAUUUCUCUGCAUUUAUUGAGACGAUCGUGUUUUAUUCUUUUAUUCUGUUGCUACGUGGAUGACACCGACGGACGCUCAAACAGCAAACGGCUCUGCAGUCCGGGGCGGAAGCGCGUCUGGCGUCUGGAGUGAGUUUGUGUAAGAUUUGUAUAAUUCACCAUAAAACCGUCAGGGCAUGGAGCUUCCUUUGUGGAAGGAGUUUGGUAAUGAAUUCAGUUAUUCAAGGUAGACAUAAGCCUAUCCACAUUUUCUAUUUCAUUUCAGGCUGAUUGUGGUAAGUUGUGUUUCUCAGAAAUCUGUGUCAUCUAUGUUGUUAAACAUUGACAUAAAGUCAUUCAUAGCGUUUCAUUAUUGUCUUGUACUGUGUAAAGGAUCUAUAUUGAUAGGCAUUCUCUCAAUCUAGAUAUUGGCAAUCUAUUCUGUAUUUAAAUAACUUCUGCUACUGCUUCCAUUAUUUAUUUUGUACUUUUGGGCUUUCAUUUGCUCAUCUUUUAUGCUUCUUAUACUGGAAACUUAUAUUAUUGAUGUUAAGCCUUUUAUGGUUUCUGACCUAAGCAUUUAAAGCUAUGAAUUUCCCUCUAAGCACCCCUUUGCCUGCACUCCACAAAUUCUCACAUUCUGUGUUUUCAUGAUCAUUCGAUUCAAAAUAUUUUCUUUGAGAUUUCUUCUUUAAAACUUUUUUCGUGACUGAGUCUUGCCACAUUGCCCAAGCUGAUGGACUCCUGGGUUCAAUCAGUCCUUCCACUUCAGCCUCCUGAGUAGCUGGGGCUGAAGCCACCUCGCCUGGCUUGGCCAUUUCUUCUCUGACCCACACAUUAAUUAGAAGUGUGUUGUUUGCUGUACAAAUAGCUGAGACUUUAAAAAAUAUGUAAAGUAUGUAUAGGAGACACCGCGCCCCCUUAAUGCCAAACCCAGGGCGAAAUGUUCCUGCCUCUUUAAUAACCCUACGAGGUAGAGACUAUUAGUAUUUCAGAAAAUUGAGGCUCAGAAUCAUUAAAUUACCUUUUCAAGGUGAAACAGGUUGAAUAUGGUCCAGCCAAGUGCUGAGCCCUGC
Long non-coding RNA from Callithrix jacchus (white-tufted-ear marmoset), 2553 nucleotides. NCBI's taxonomy places the organism in Eukaryota, Metazoa, Chordata, Mammalia, Primates, Cebidae. The record is from Ensembl.